GGCUAAAACAGCAACAGUUUUUAGUCCAAAGUUCACUUUGCACUUCUUACAGUAUGUUUUUUUACAGUGUAUUUUGUAAAACGAAUAUUCGAGCUCUAGAAUAUAAACAAUGUAAACUGCAUUAUAGUUGAAUCUAAUUUCUAAUCUUAUUUACAAAUUUAAUUUUUCAACAAAUAAGUAACAAUUAUACCUGCUCAAAUUAGAGACAUCGCGAACAUUUUAUUGAGAUUGACUGACGAUGAAAAUAUGGCAAUGUAUCAAAGGUAUGGACGAGAGAGGUAGUUUACGAGAUGGUUCCAAAAUUGAAAUAAGAGUUUGCGUUAGUAUUAGGGUUAGUGUGGGGGUUAGGUAGGUGUGGGGUAAGGAUAAGUAUAGGUUAUAUUUUGAGGCAACGAG
This is a non-coding RNA of Paramuricea clavata, 396 nucleotides long. Lineage: Eukaryota; Metazoa; Cnidaria; Anthozoa; Malacalcyonacea; Plexauridae. The record is from the annotation of a GenBank genome assembly.